Long non-coding RNA from Galeopterus variegatus (Sunda flying lemur), 349 nucleotides. RefSeq lists it as uncharacterized. NCBI's taxonomy places the organism in Eukaryota, Metazoa, Chordata, Mammalia, Dermoptera, Cynocephalidae. The record is from RefSeq and is a predicted model, not a curated record. The transcript has 2 exons.
GGUCCCGACUUGAAACUGACGCGACCUCGUCACCACAGGCCCGCAGAGCCCAACGGACGACCCCAGCCCGGCCCCACUUCCGCUCGGAGCAGUUGGAAAAAUGAACGUGCUCUUGCGAAGGGAUAAAAGGUUAUUAAGAAGAACAAGGGAAGAGAACUCUAGAACAAGCACUGGAGGGUGUUACUAGGAGAGGAAUACAACCUUAGAGGCCAGUGAACAGCAGGGAACAGGGUUGAGACCGUGUGUCCUGGAGUUUGGGCACCUCAUGUACUUCUCUCCUCAGUCGUAAAGUGGGGGUGACAAUGGUAUCCUUGCAGAGUAUCUAAUAAACGAGAGACGCUAUUCUUAC